Molecule: ribosomal RNA, 492 nt
Filed under: uncultured bacterium
Lineage: Bacteria
Description: partial 16S ribosomal RNA
Rfam family: Bacterial small subunit ribosomal RNA
Source: RNAcentral
AGUGAACGCUGGCGGUAGACCUAACACAUGCAAGUCGAACGGCAGCACAGUAAGAGCUUGCUCUUACGGGUGGCGAGUGGCGGACGGGUGAGGAAUACAUCGGAAUCUACUUUUUCGUGGGGGAUAACGUAGGGAAACUUACGCUAAUACCGCAUACGACCUACGGGUGAAAGCAGGGGAUCUUCGGACCUUGCGCGAUUGAAUGAGCCGAUGUCGGAUUAGCUAGUUGGCGGGGGAAAGGCCCACCAAGGCGACGAUCCGUAGCUGGUCUGAGAGGAUGAUCAGCCACACUGGAACUGAGACACGGUCCAGACUCCUACGGGAGGCAGCAGUGGGGAAUAUUGGACAAUGGGCGCAAGCCUGAUCCAGCCAUACCGCGUGGGUGAAGAAGGCCUUCGGGUUGUAAAGCCCUUUUGUUGGGAAAGAAAGGCAGCAGGUUAAUACCCCGCUGUUCUGACGGUACCCAAAGAAUAAGCACCGGCUAACUUCGUG